GCCUUCCGGCCCCUGCCCCCCCGCCCCGCCCCCCAGCUGCCCCGGGGCGCCGAGAACCGCGGCGACCCUGGACUCGGCGCCAGUGGUGGGCGUGGGCCGGACGGAGCAGCGGGCCUGGAGCUGGGGAGGGGGAAUCUAAGGAGGGGGCAGGAGCACCCCCAGGGAUCCUAGAGGCGAUCCCGGGAUCCUGGUUGGCGUUGGGGGCCGGGUGCGGGAGGGUGAGCCUGCGAGCAUCUCAGCGCCGCACAGCAACGUGCUUCGACCUCUGCAUCUUUGCAGUGGCGCGAAGGGCAGCGCGGCAGGUGCAGGCAGGAGACGCCAAGGGAGAGGAGACGUGGUGCCCCCCCGGAGACUUCCCUAUUACCGCCGCAAAACUGCCCCUGGCGAGCUGUUGGGGUGCCUCGUGUCCGUGAGGUGGGGGCGGGAGAAGUUGGGCAGGAGCUCGGCCGACAGUAACGUAGAAGACACACGUUAAGGGUGGUCUCUCAUCUGCUCACUGAGCUUGUCGCCUCUUCCCGUUUGCCCAUUUAUGCAGCCAGAUGAACUGUAGCCAGUCAUUGCCCUAUGCUUUUCUUAAAGUCAGAGCAUUUUCCCCACAAAUCCUGCCAUAGAUGGGUCCUGGGGGGCGUGCAAGUGACUGUAUCACAGAAACGUAUAGUUCGUCUGAAGACAGGGGAUAGUUUGGCUAGUGUUACACUUCUUACAGAGAUUUUCACUGGCAGCUGCUCUGUGUUCAGGCACUGUGCUGGGUGCCAAUGGAGACAGCGGAGACCACAGCAGAGGACUGCUUUCAUCGUCCAGGUGUUUCCCCUCCCCCACAACCCACAGCUUCAGCUGACCAGAGUUGUUUUCAGGAAAUCGGGAGACACCUCUUAAUCAGUCACUAGGUUGGCAAUGGUAAUCAGAUGGAUUGAGUGCUUCGAUGCCCCCUGCCAAUCAAGAUCACAUUGGUCCCAAGGCUCCCAUCGUGUUGCACCCUGGUCUAUGCUACUUUGCGAUGAGAGUUUCCCAUUCAAAGUGCACCUGAAUUGAAAAUCAGCAUCUUCAUUUGGAACAUCUGUCCUUGAACCUUCAGUUUGGGUCCCAUAUUUGAAACCACUGCUUGGAUUAUCUGCUAAAGACAUCUUUAUCCACAAAGCUUCUCUCUCCUACUUGACAAUCACCUGAGUUUCUCAGACCUCAGGUUGAGCCUUUUUGAGAAUCUCCCCAAGACACAGAGCACAUAUUUUAAGUCUUAUAAGCCCAAACGGCCCUCUAAAUGUGAAGGAAACCCAUCCAGAUGCUUUCUUUGACUGCUAUAGUGACACAAAAUAGCAAUCUGGAUAAUUCAGUGCUUUUGUUGAAGAGACACAUUUUCAUGCCUGUUUUAGUCAGCUUUUGCUACAGAAGCAACACAAACUUUCAGUGGCUUAUAACCACCACCGUUUACUUCUAACCCACACCACAUGGUGGUUGCUGGUUGGCUAAGGUCCUGCUCCAGACAGUGGACCUGACUGCAGGUCUGCUUGUGUUCUCAUUUGGAGGUCCAAGUUGAAGGAGCUGCCCUUCUCUGGGACGUGAUGUUGGCAUAAGGACAGGAGUACAGGAGGCUGAGGCAAGUUAUAAAACUGUAUCCAAAAUUUCUGCUCAAAUAUAGCAUGCAGCAUAUCAUCUCAUAUUCCCUUGGCCAAAACACAUCCUGUGAAGAAGUCAAAAGUCAGUGUGCCAAGGAUAUAAAAUCCUCUUACAGGAAACAGAUGAGUGGAAAAAUCAAGAAUUUUAAUCUAAUCUACCACCUCUAUCCUCUGACAAAACUUUGACGCCAACUUACUUUUCACAUGUUUCCUGGAAAGAAUAUACACAUAUAUGAUUUUGCUUAAAGGCUAUAGAACUAUUUCAUUUUGGAUAAAUACUUCAUCCCACUCUUUCUUUUAUUGAAGAAUCUGCCUCUACUUUUUUUAAUGGAAAAAUUAAUAACUGAAAAGAGGUCCCAUGAGAAGCUAAAUUCAUAAUGAAUUUAUUCACUUUACAAUGUUAAGGCAUGAUAUAUGAUUCUGCCUGUUAAAGUGUGUUUGAUCUAAAAUGGCAUUUAGUUUCAAAAUGGAGAAAAUAUGUGUUGCCAUGUGAAUUCCCACAAGCCUACUGUCUUUUCCAAACUUGAGUAUGAAU
Equus caballus (horse) is the source of this 2148-nucleotide long non-coding RNA. Lineage: Eukaryota; Metazoa; Chordata; Mammalia; Perissodactyla; Equidae. The record is from Ensembl.